AAGACUUGYSUUCAGUUCUCGUGACUGCGUGCCUUUUGAAGAAUGAGCCUGCGAGUUUGCGGUGUGUUGCGAGGUUAACCCGUGUGGGGAAGCCGUAGCGAAAGCGAGUCCGAAUAGGGCGGUAUAGUAGCGCGCUCAAGACCCGAAGCGGAGUGAUCUAGCCAUGGGCAGGUUGAAGCGGAGGUAAGACUUCGUGGAGGACCGAACCCACCAGGGUUGAAAACCUGGGGGAUGACCUGUGGUUAGGGGUGAAAGGCCAAUCAAACUCCGUGAUAGCUGGUUCUCCCCGAAAUGCAUUUAGGUGCAGCGUCGUGUGUUUCUUGCCGGAGGUAGAGCACUGGAUGGKCUAGGGGCCCUACAAGGUUACYGAAAUCAGCCAAACUCCGAAUGCCGGUAAGUGAGAGCGCGGCAGUGAGACUGCGGGGGAUAAGCUUCGUAGUCGAGAGGGAAACAGCCCAGAUCACCAGCUAAGGCCCCUAAGCGUGUGCUAAGUGGAAAAGGAUGUGGGGUCGCUUAGACAACCAGGAGGUUGGCUUAGAAGCAGCCACCCUUUAAAGAGUGCGUAAUAGCUCACUGGUCAAGUGGUUCCGCGCCGACAAUGUAGCGGGGCUCAAGUACACCGCCGAAGCUGUGGCAUUCACACAUGAACCCGGCUGCAGAUCUUUGGGUUGKGGUCYAGGUGUGUGGRUGGGUAGGGGAGCGUCGUGCAGCGAGUGAAGCAGCGGGGUGACCCAGCUGUGGACGYGGUACGAGUGAGAAUGCAGGCAUGAGUAGCGARAGAAGGGUGAGAAACCCUUCCGCCGGAUGACCAAGGGUUCCAGGGCCAGGCUAUUCCGCCCUGGGUGAGUCGGGGCCUAAGGCGAGGCCGAGAGGCGUAGUCGAUGGAUAACGGGUUGAUAUUCCCGUACCCGCGAAGGAGCGACCAUGAUGAACCUAUCUGUGCUAACUGUCCGCUCAGGGGGAUCCUUCGGGUGAACCGGAAAGUGCACAGGAACCUGGGUGGUAGUAGUCAAGCGAUGGGGUGACGCAGGAAGGUAGCUGAUCCCGGCCGGUGGUUGUGCCGGGGUAAGCGUGUAGGCCGGUGCUGUAGGCAAAUCCGCAGCACCAUUUGGGCUGAGACGUGAUGCCGAGCCGAUUCAGGUGAAGUCAGUGAUCCUAUGCUGCCGAGAAAAGCCUCUAGCGAGUUCCGAGCGGCCCGUACCCUAAACCGACACAGGUGGUCAGGUAGAGAAUACCGAGGCGUUCGGGUGAACUGUGGUUAAGGAACUCGGCAAAUUGCCCCGUAACUUMGGGAGAAGGGGGGCCAUCACCGGUGAUGACAUUUACUGUCUGAGCUGGGGGUGGCCGCAGAGACCAGCGAGAAGCGACUGUUUACUAAAAACACAGGUCCGUGCGAAGCCGUAAGGCGAUGUAUACGGACUGACGCCUGCCCGGUGCUGGAACGUUAAGGGGMCGGUUAGUGCACUYUUCGGGGUGUGCGAAGACUGAGAACUUAAGCGCCAGUAAACGGCGGUGGUAACUAUAACCAUCCUAAGGUAGCGAAAUUCCUUGUCGGGUAAGUUCCGACCUGCACGAAUGGCGUAACGACUUCUCGACUGUCUCAACCACAGGCCCGGCGAAAUUGCAYUACGAGUAAAGAUGCUCGUUACGCGCGGCAGGACGGAAAGACCCCGGGACCKUUACUAUAGCUGUGACAUUGGUAUCCGAGUUCGAUUGUGUAGGAUAGGUGGGAGACUGUGAAGCUGGCACGCCAGUGUCGGUGGAGUCAUUGUUGAAAUCCACUCUGUUGGAUUUGGGUAUCUAACCCGGGCCCUGAUCGGGGUUGGGACAGUGUCUGGUGGUGUUUAACUGGGCGUUGCCUCUAAGGUACGAGCGCCAAAGGUUCCUCAGCCUG
RNAcentral lists this ribosomal RNA (1894 nucleotides) under Punica granatum (pomegranate). RNAcentral describes it as "bacterial LSU rRNA". It matches the Rfam family "Bacterial large subunit ribosomal RNA", at positions 581 to 2329 of the family's 2925-position model. Lineage: Eukaryota; Viridiplantae; Streptophyta; Magnoliopsida; Myrtales; Lythraceae. The record is from RNAcentral.